Molecule: non-coding RNA, 67 nt
Organism: Podarcis lilfordi (Lilford's wall lizard)
Lineage: Eukaryota; Metazoa; Chordata; Lepidosauria; Squamata; Lacertidae
Source: the annotation of a GenBank genome assembly
GGUGGCACAACGGAUCAGUGUGUCUGGUUGUUGACCAGAAGGUUGGUGGUUUGAGCCCACCCAGGCA